This 670-nucleotide ribosomal RNA is filed under the name uncultured Gammaproteobacteria bacterium. RNAcentral's name for it is "bacterial SSU rRNA". It matches the Rfam family "Bacterial small subunit ribosomal RNA", at positions 69 to 737 of the family's 1533-position model. The record is from RNAcentral. Lineage: Bacteria; Pseudomonadati; Pseudomonadota; Gammaproteobacteria.
GUAACAUUUCUAGCUUGCUAGAAGAUGACGAGUGGCGGACGGGUGAGUAAUGCUUGGGAACUUGCCUAGCGAGGGGGAUAACAGUUGGAAACGACUGCUAAUACCGCAUAAUGUCUUCGGACCAAACGGGGCUUCGGCUCCGGCGCAAAGAGAGGCCCAAGUGAGAUUAGCUAGUUGGUAAGGUAACGGCUUACCAAGGCGACGAUCUCUAGCUGUUCUGAGAGGAAGAUCAGCCACACUGGGACUGAGACACGGCCCAGACUCCUACGGGAGGCAGCAGUGGGGAAUAUUGCACAAUGGGGGAAACCCUGAUGCAGCCAUGCCGCGUGUGUGAAGAAGGCCUUCGGGUUGUAAAGCACUUUCAGUUGUGAGGAAAAGUUAGUAGUUAAUACCUGCUAGCCGUGACGUUAACAACAGAAGAAGCACCGGCUAACUCCGUGCCAGCAGCCGCGGUAAUACGGAGGGUGCGAGCGUUAAUCGGAAUUACUGGGCGUAAAGCGCACGCAGGCGGUUUGUUAAGCUAGAUGUGAAAGCCCCGGGCUCAACCUGGGAUGGUCAUUUAGAACUGGCGGACUAGAGUCUUGGAGAGGGGAGUGGAAUUCCAGGUGUAGCGGUGAAAUGCGUAGAUAUCUGGAGGAACAUCAGUGGCGAAGGCGACUCCCUGGCCAAA